This 1435-nucleotide ribosomal RNA is filed under the name uncultured organism. Its description in RNAcentral is "SSU rRNA". It matches the Rfam family "Bacterial small subunit ribosomal RNA". The record is from RNAcentral.
CAUGAUGAACGCUAGCUACAGGCUUAACACAUGCAAGUCGAGGGGUAUCAGGAAGAAAGCUUGCUUUCUUUGCUGGCGACCGGCGCACGGGUGGGUAACACGUAUCCAACCUGCCCUUUACUCGGGGAUAGCCUUUCGAAAGAAAGAUUAAUACCCGAUAGCAUAAUGAUUCCGCAUGGUUUCAUUAUUAAAGGAUUCCGGUAAAGGAUGGGGAUGCGUUCCAUUAGGUUGUUGGUGAGGUAACGGCCCACCAAGCCUUCGAUGGAUAGGGGUUCUGAGAGGAAGGUCCCCCACAUUGGAACUGAGACACGGUCCAAACUCCUACGGGAGGCAGCAGUGAGGAAUAUUGGUCAAUGGGCGCUAGCCUGAACCAGCCAAGUAGCGUGAAGGAUGAAGGCUCUAUGGGUCGUAAACUUCUUUUAUAUAAGAAUAAAGUGCAGUAUGUAUACUGUUUUGUAUGUAUUAUAUGAAUAAGGAUCGGCUAACUCCGUGCCAGCAGCCGCGGUAAUACGGAGGAUCCGAGCGUUAUCCGGAUUUAUUGGGUUUAAAGGGAGCGUAGGUGGACUGGUAAGUCAGUUGUGAAAGUUUGCGGCUCAACCGUAAAAUUGCAGUUGAUACUGUCAGUCUUGAGUACAGUAGAGGUGGGCGGAAUUCGUGGUGUAGCGGUGAAAUGCUUAGAUAUCACGAAGAACUCCGAUUGCGAAGGCAGCUCACUGGACUGCAACUGACACUGAUGCUCGAAAGUGUGGGUAUCAAACAGGAUUAGAUACCCUGGUAGUCCACACAGUAAACGAUGAAUACUCGCUGUUUGCGAUAUACAGUAAGCGGCCAAGCGAAAGCAUUAAGUAUUCCACCUGGGGAGUACGCCGGCAACGGUGAAACUCAAAGGAAUUGACGGGGGCCCGCACAAGCGGAGGAACAUGUGGUUUAAUUCGAUGAUACGCGAGGAACCUUACCCGGGCUUAAAUUGCAGUGGAAUGAUGUGGAAACAUGUCAGUGAGCAAUCACCGCUGUGAAGGUGCUGCAUGGUUGUCGUCAGCUCGUGCCGUGAGGUGUCGGCUUAAGUGCCAUAACGAGCGCAACCCUUAUCUUUAGUUACUAACAGGUUAUGCUGAGGACUCUAGAGAGACUGCCGUCGUAAGAUGUGAGGAAGGUGGGGAUGACGUCAAAUCAGCACGGCCCUUACGUCCGGGGCUACACACGUGUUACAAUGGGGGGUACAGAAGGCAGCUAGCGGGUGACCGUAUGCUAAUCCCAAAAGCCUCUCUCAGUUCGGAUCGAAGUCUGCAACCCGACUUCGUGAAGCUGGAUUCGCUAGUAAUCGCGCAUCAGCCACGGCGCGGUGAAUACGUUCCCGGGCCUUGUACACUCCGCCCGUCAAGCCAUGGGAGCCGGGGGUACAUGAAGUACGUAACCGCAAGGAUCGUCUUAGGGU